UCAGUGGCCGAGUCGAUAACGCGAUUGCAUUUGAAGCGAAAGGUACUGGGUUCGAGUCCCAGAGUGA
Molecule: transfer RNA, 67 nt
Filed under: Schistosoma mansoni
Lineage: Eukaryota; Metazoa; Platyhelminthes; Trematoda; Strigeidida; Schistosomatidae
Source: RNAcentral